Molecule: long non-coding RNA, 4322 nt
Organism: Panicum hallii
Lineage: Eukaryota; Viridiplantae; Streptophyta; Magnoliopsida; Poales; Poaceae
Exons: 3
Source: RefSeq, a predicted model, not a curated record
UUUCCCCACCUCCCCGUCCCCCAGCUCGCAAAUAGAUCGUGCCCCACCCACGAUCCUCCGUACCGUUCCUCCCGCCGGCGAAAUAGAUCCUCGCUCCAUCCGUCCUCCCGCCGGCGAUCCUCCGGUGAUGCGCCGGGCGCCGCCCUCCCUCAUGCUUUCCAGCCUCGCCGGCUCUCGUCCCGCCCCUGCAACACCCUGCGCCACCCUCCGCCGCCGGCUGCCGUCGGCGGGCUUCCCGUCGGUGACCCACGGGCUACCCCCGCGAAGGGCUGCGCGGCCGGCCCCCCUCCCGACACGGCGAGGCACCCUCGCCUGUCCCCAAUCUCGCGAUUCGGGCCCUCCCCGGCGACCCUCUGGUGAGGCGCGGUCCUGUCCCCCCCCCUCGCCGUCCGGCGAGGUCCUACGCCGCCGGCUACCUGCAGCCUCUGGACGUCAGCGCGUCGCCCUCCCCGACGCGCUCCUCCUCCUCGUGCUUGCCUGCCUCGGAUCCACGGCCAAGGCUGCGCGCACAAGCAGUGUCGCUCGGCGGUGGCGCCCGCUCUGGACCGAGCUCGACGUGCUGGUGUUCCGCCGCGUCGACCCCGACACGCUCGCCGGCCUGCUCGCCAGGGCCAGGCACCCCAACCUCCGCCGCCUCGAGAUCUAGAUCUCCAUGCCGGACCGGGCGCUCCCGGCCUGGCAGAUGUCCUCGCUGUUCCGCACCGCCGAGGAGCACAACCCGGAGGAGCACGUCUUCAACGUGGCCAGCCGGGGCUACCUCGGCUUCCCGGCGCUCCCUCCUCCCUACAACGCCCCCUCCCGAUGGCGCUCCCCUCCUCCCGGGCCGAUGGCGUUGCCUCCGCCUGACGCCGCCCCUCCUCCUGAUGGCGCUCCCUCCUCCCAGCUCGUGGUCCGUUCCGGACGACGUUCCUCCCGUUGCUGAUCCGGGUACUGGCGCCGCCCACCGCCCGCUGCUGGCUAGCCCCUGCGUGUUCCCGCAUUCAUGGAGACGAUCUCCCGUUCCCAACGCCGCUAAAUCCUCCCAUCGCCAUUCCGCGAGUCCGAUCUGCCCUCCUGUCUCCGGCGAUCCUCCUCCGGCCUGCCUUCCUAUCAGUCUUAGCAUCAUUGAACUCUAUUGAACCGGCAUGCGGAUGCGGGGAAUUAGGCAACGGUGACGGCAUGGAGCUGGCAGUUGUGGGGGGUCCAACGGCAACGGCAUCGAGCAAGCUGCUAUGAGGUUUCUGGAGGUGGACAAUGAGUUUCACAUCACCGGAUCGGCAAGUGCAGCUGCGUACAGUGGUGGAAUUCCAGGUGACGAAAGGAAUAAUAAUUAAAGUCUGGGCACACACAGUUUGCACUAUCAAACUCUGCAGCUAAUGGAGGCAUUACCAAUUCAUCACGUCAAGGGAGAUAACUGUUAUUGUCUAGAUGGUGGUUUCAAUAGAGACUGUUUUGGAAUUGAUUACAUGGGCAAGCUCAAAGGCAUGCAUGUACCGCUACAAUUGGUCAAACCGAUCGGUGCUACUGUGAAUGGGGUUACAACAAAUAUGUCAGUGGUGGUGGCCAUCAUCAAGGAUGACAUACAUUCAUCGCUUCAGCUACUAGAAGAUUUGGCUCUCCUUUUAGAUACUCUAAGGCAGUAUAAUAUUGGAGACUCUUUGCUCGUGCAAACCCACUUCUGUCAUGAAGAGGAAGAUAACAAAACGGCCUUGUUUGAUCGGAUGCAUAAGCGUCUCAAGGUUAUCGAGAAGACAGAUGCAGCAAAAUAUACAAGGAUUAUGCAAACUAUACAACCUCCCGGUGUAAGUGUUUGGUUGGCAAGUGCAAUGGACAACACCCAUCUUCAUUGUUGUGUUCUCCGGUACGCUCCAUGAAACCGCUCUGCAACCAUCAACAUGGUUACCGUGGUACAGGCGUUCCUGACAAUAAGAGUUCAAUAUGCUGAUAACAUAGAUGAUUUCUUCACCUACCGGCGAAAUGACCAAGCUCAUUUGGAGGCGGACUACUCUGUGGAUACCAUACGACACAUCAAAGCUGCAAUAUUUGGACCAGCAGCUGGGCUCAAGGAAUGGCACCAUUUGCAAGACAGUGCAGCUGUAGCAAGAGCAGCAGCUCGGCCUGUAAUAACAGCAGCAGUUCAGCCUGUACUGCCACUUGCUGCUCGACUUUUGAAUCCAAUGCCACCAGCAAUAACUUUGGUGAUUGCAAACACCUUAUAUCAGUGGUGGCGGCCAUCAUCAAGCAUGGCAUACAUUCAUCGCUUCAGCUACCAGAAGAUUUGGCCCUCCUUUUAGAUACUCUGAGACAGUAUAACAUUGGAGACUCUUUGCUUGUGCAAACCCACUUCUGUCAUGAAGAGAAAGAUAACAAAGCGGUCUUGUUUGAUCGGAUGCAUAAUCGUCUCAAGGUUAUCGAGAAGACAGAUGUAGCAAAAUAUACAAAGAUUAUGCAAACUAUACAACCUCCCGGUGCAAGUGUUUGGUUGGCAAGUGCAAUGGAUAGCACCCAUCUUCAUUGUUGCGUUCUCCGGUACGCUCCAUGAAACCGCCCUACAACCAUCAACAUGGUUAACGUGGUACAGGCGUUUUUGACAACAAGAGUUCAAUAUGCUGAUAACAAAAAUGAUUUAUUCACCUGCCGGCAAAAUGGCCAAGCUCAUUUGGAGGCGGACUACUCUGUGGAUACCAUAGGACACAUCGAAGCUGCAAUAUUUGGGGCAGCAGCUAGGCUCAACGAAUGGCACCAUUUGCAACACAGUGCAGCUGGAGCAAGAGCAGUAGCUCGGCCUGUAAUAACAGCAGCAGUUCAGCCUGUACUGCCACUUGCUGCUCGACUUCUGAAUCCAAUGCCACCAGCAAUAGCUUUGGUGAUUGCAAACACCUUACAUCAGUGGUGGCCGCCAUCAUCAAGGAUGGCAUACAUUCAUCGCUUCAGCUAACAGAAGAUUUGGCCCUCCUUUUAGAUACUCUGAGACAGUAUAACAUUUGAGACUCUUUGCUCGCGCAAACCCACUUCUGUCAUGAAGAGAAAGAUAACAAAGCGGCCUUGUUUGAUCGGAAGCAUAAGCGUCUCAAGGUUAUCGAGAAGACAGAUGCAGCAAAAUAUACAAGGAUUAUGCAAGCUAUACAAUCUCCCGGUGCAAGUGUUUGGUUAGCAAGUGCAAUGAACAGCACCCAUCUUCAUUGUUGUGUUCUCCGGUACGCUCCAUGGAACCGCCCUGCAACCAUCAAAAUGGUUAACGUGGUACAGGCGUUCCUGACAAUAAGAGUUCAAUAUGCUGAUAACAUAGAUGAUUUCUUCACCUGCCGGCGAAAUAGCAAAGCUCAUUUGGAGGCGGACUACUCUGUGGAUACCAUAGGACACAUCGAAUCUGCAAUACUUGGGACAGCAGCUGGGCUCAAGGAAUGGCAUCAUUUGCAACACAGUGCAGCUGGAGCAAGAGCAGCAGCUCGGCCUGUAAUAACAGCAGCAGUUCAGCCUGUACUGCCACUUGCUGCUCGACUGCUGAAUCCAAUGCCACCAGCAAUAGCUUUGGUGAUUGCAAACAUCUUACAUCAGUGGUGGCCGCCAUCAUCAAGGAUGGCAUACAUUCAUCGCUUCAGCUAUCAGAAGAUUUGGCCUUCCUUUUAGAUACUCUGAGGCAGUAUAACAUUGGAGACUCUUUGCUCGUGCAAAUCCACUUCUAUCAUGAAGAGGAAGAUAACAAAGCGGCCUUGUUUGAUCGGAUGCAUAAGCGUCUCAAGGUUAUCGAGAAGACAUAUGCAGCAAAAUAUACAAAAAUUAUGCAAGCCAUACAACCUCCCGGUGCAAGUGUUUGGUUGGCAAGUGCAAUGGACAGCACCCAUCUUCAUUGUUGUGUUCUCCGGUACGCUUCAUGGAACCGCCUUGCAACCAUCAACAUGGUUAACGUGGUACAGGCGUUCCUGACAACAAGAGUUCAAUAUGCUGAUAACAUAGAUGAUUUCUUCACCUGCCGGUGAAAUAGCAAAGCUCAUUUGGAGGCGGACUACUCUGUGGAUACCAUAGGACACAUCGAAGCUGCAAUAUUUGGGGCAGCAGCUGGGCUUAAGGAAUGACACCAUUUGCAACACAGUGCAGCUGGAGCAAGAGCAGUAGCUCGGCCUGUAAUAACAGCAGCAGUUCAGCCUGUACUGCCACUUGCUGCUCGACUUCUGAAUCCAAUGCCACCAGCAAUAGCUUUGGUGAUUGCAAACACCUUACAUCAGUGGUGGCCGCCAUCAUCAAGGAUGGCAUACAUUCAUCGCUUCAGCUAUCAGAAGAUUUGGCUCUCCUUUUAGAUAUUUUGAGGCAGUAUAACAUUGGAGACUCUUUGCUCGUGCAAA